RNAcentral lists this ribosomal RNA (500 nucleotides) under uncultured bacterium. Its description in RNAcentral is "partial 16S ribosomal RNA". It matches the Rfam family "Bacterial small subunit ribosomal RNA", at positions 30 to 523 of the family's 1533-position model. The record is from RNAcentral.
AUUGAACGCUGGCGGAAUGCUUUACACAUGCAAGUCGAACGGCAGCACGGACUUCGGUCUGGUGGCGAGUGGCGAACGGGUGAGUAAUGUAUCGGAACGUGCCCAGUCGUGGGGGAUAACGUAGUGAAAAUCACGCUAAUACCGCAUACGAUCUAUGGAUGAAAGCGGGGGAUCGCAAGACCUCGCGCGAUUGGAGCGGCCGAUAUCAGAUUAGGUAGUUGGUGGGGUAAAGGCCCACCAAGCCAACGAUCUGUAGCUGGUCUGAGAGGACGAGCAGCCUCACUGGAACUGAGACACGGUCCAGACUCCUACGGGAGGCAGCAGUGGGGAAUUUUGGACAAUGGGCGAAAGCCUGAUCCAGCCAUUCCGCGUGCAGGAUGAAGGCCCUCGGGUUGUAAACUGCUUUUGUACAGAACGAAAAGGUUUCUACUAAUACUAGGAGCUCAUGACGGUACUGUAAGAAUAAGCACCGGCUAACUACGUGCCAGCCGCCGCAGUAA